UUUGGCCUACGGGGGGCAGCAGUGGGGAAUAUUGCACAAUGGGGGAAACCCUGAUGCAGCGACGCCGCGUGAGCGAUGAAGUAUUUCGGUAUGUAAAGCUCUAUCAGCAGGGAAGAAAAUGACGGUACCUGACUAAGAAGCCCCGGCUAACUACGUGCCAGCAGCCGCGGUAAUACGUAGGGGGCAAGCGUUAUCCGGAUUUACUGGGUGUAAAGGGAGCGUAGACGGCAGAGCAAGUCCGGAGUGAAAGCCCGGGGCCCAACCCCGGGACUGCUCUGGAAACUGUUAAGCUAGAGUGCGGGAGG
Molecule: ribosomal RNA, 305 nt
Filed under: uncultured bacterium
Lineage: Bacteria
Description: bacterial SSU rRNA
Rfam family: Bacterial small subunit ribosomal RNA
Source: RNAcentral